This 671-nucleotide ribosomal RNA is filed under the name Commiphora grandifolia. Its description in RNAcentral is "eukaryotic LSU rRNA". The stretch from base 288 to 443 matches the Rfam family "5.8S ribosomal RNA". Lineage: Eukaryota; Viridiplantae; Streptophyta; Magnoliopsida; Sapindales; Burseraceae. The record is from RNAcentral.
CUGCGGAGGAUCAUUGUCGAAACCUGCCCGCCAGCAGAACGACCCGCGAACCCGUUGGUUUGAGAAAACGAACGACGGGAGGGGCAGCGCGAGCUCCCCGCCCGCCCACCUGCGCCGCGGGGGUCGGAGGCGUCCCGUCCGCGGGCGUCGGCCCGCGCCCCCGCGGUGCCACAACGAACCCGGCGCGGACCGCGCCAAGGAAACCAUAACGGGAGAGCCCGUCGAGCGUCCRCGCCCCGGAGACGGCGCGCGUGCGAUCGGCGGCGCCUUCUUUGAUUAUCCAAAACGACUCUCGGCAACGGAUAUCUAGGCUCUCGCAUCGAUGAAGAACGUAGCGAAAUGCGAUACUUGGUGUGAAUUGCAGAAUCCCGUGAACCAUCGAGUCUUUGAACGCAAGUUGCGCCCCAAGCCUUUAGGCCGAGGGCACGUCUGCCUGGGUGUCACGCAUCGUCGCCCCCCCGGAGGAGCGCGGGCGGGGCGGAGACUGGCCUCCCGUGCGCCUCGCGGCUCGCGGUUGGCCCAAAUCCGAGUCCCCCGGCCUCGCGUGCCGCGGCUUUCGGUGGUCGAAAGAAACCCGAUGCCCGGUCGCGCCCGCGUGGCCGCACGACAGGACCCCGCGACCCCGACGCGUCGUCCGUACGGCGACGCUCGCCACGCGACCCCAGGUCAGG